RNAcentral lists this ribosomal RNA (420 nucleotides) under uncultured eukaryote. Its description in RNAcentral is "SSU rRNA". It matches the Rfam family "Eukaryotic small subunit ribosomal RNA", at positions 592 to 1018 of the family's 1831-position model. The record is from RNAcentral.
CAAUAGCGUAUAUUUAAGUUGUUGCAGUUAAAAGCUCGUAGUUGGAUUUCGGGCGGGGUAGGCCGGUCCGCCGUUACGGUGUGCACUGGCCGACCCCGUCUUCUUGCCGGGGACGCGGUUCUGGCCUUGAUUGGCUGGGGCGCGGAGUCGGCGACGUUACUUUGAAAAAUUAGAGUGUUCAAAGCAAGCUCACGCUCUGAAUACAUUAGCAUGGAAUAACACGAUAGGACUCCGGUCCUAUUUUGUUGGUCUUCGGGAUCGGAGUAAUGAUUAAGAGGGACAGUUGGGGGCAUUCGUAUUUCAUUGUCAGAGGUGAAAUUCUUGGAUUUAUGAAAGACGAACUUCUGCGAAAGCAUUUGCCAAGGAUGUUUUCAUUAAUCAAGAACGAAAGUUGGGGGCUCGAAGACGAUUAGAUACCAU